RNAcentral lists this transfer RNA (84 nucleotides) under Sodalis sp. Ffu. Its description in RNAcentral is "tRNA-Leu". It matches the Rfam family "tRNA". From Rfam's summary of the family: Transfer RNA (tRNA) molecules are approximately 80 nucleotides in length. Their secondary structure includes four short double-helical elements and three loops (D, anti-codon, and T loops). Further hydrogen bonds mediate the characteristic L-shaped molecular structure. tRNAs have two regions of fundamental functional importance: the anti-codon, which is responsible for specific mRNA codon recognition, and the 3' end, to which the tRNAs corresponding amino acid is attached (by aminoacyl-tRNA synthetases). tRNAs cope with the degeneracy of the genetic code in two manners: having more than one tRNA (with a specific anti-codon) for a particular amino acid; and 'wobble' base-pairing, i.e. permitting non-standard base-pairing at the 3rd anti-codon position. Lineage: Bacteria; Pseudomonadati; Pseudomonadota; Gammaproteobacteria; Enterobacterales; Bruguierivoracaceae. The record is from RNAcentral. RNAcentral also lists the same sequence under 2 other names.
UGCCGAAGUGGCGAAAUUGGUAGACGCAGUUGAUUCAAAAUUAACCGCCUUUAGGUAUGCCGGUUCGAGUCCGGCCUUCGGCAA